AUAAAUGGGGGUCAUGCUUUUACUAAAAUUUAUGAGGCAGGAUUUGAAUAUAUUUGCAAAAGCAAUCUCUCCAACAAAACUUUCCUAGCUUCAAGAAACCCUAGUAUAAUAAAAAAUUGACUCAUAAAUAAGGAUUAAUCUCUUUUCUUUUAAGAGACACGAAAACAAAUUACCAAUAUAUUUGUAGUGUAAAUCUUAUUAACAACGAACAAUGCUUCAAAUAAUCUCUAACAAUCGAAGGGGACGGGCAAAAGAAAUGCAUCUAGCAAGAAAAAAACUUGUUCAAAAAUUAUAUACGGCAUAAUUCAGUAGAAUGUAAAAACAGGAUAAUUUUCUUUUAUGUGAAUUAAGGUAUAAGACAAUCAAUGAAUUUGCAAAGUGACAGUAAGGAAUAUCAAGGCAUGUCAAGGCUCAACACCCCCAAUCCUUUGCCCUUCAUAAGCAAAUCAAUGGAUCCUGGAGUAUUGAGGAGUCCCACAAAAUAUUAAGAAUCUACCAAGAUUUUUCACUCACACAACAAUGAACAAAAUACACAUUCUGUGAACACAAAAAAAAGAAAGCAAGACAUAAGCUACCAAUAUAUAGCAAAUAAUAUAAACAUAUCAAAUCAUAUAUAGAGAAGAAUGAAGUAGCAUACCCUUUCCACUAAGGUUCCAUUAUUGAGUCCUUUAAGUGACAAAGAUGUAAUUAGGGUUCAUGUAAAUCUAGGUAUUUUUUCAUGCUACAGCCAUCAGAUGAAGCUACCACAUGAUCUGAUCUUCCCUCAACAAACGAGAAAGGUUUAGAUCACGCUGGCAGCUUUAGCCGAUACUAGUGCACGCCUUAGGGUGGUAGAAUUAGCAAAGAGACAAUCCAAUUUCUCUCCUUCUUCUGCAAAAAGUUAUGCCCAUAGAAGAGAGGGCAUAUGACAAUAAAUAGAGGUCCCAACUAGGAGGGAUUAAAGGACAUUAU
RNAcentral lists this long non-coding RNA (951 nucleotides) under Olea europaea subsp. europaea. The record is from RNAcentral. Lineage: Eukaryota; Viridiplantae; Streptophyta; Magnoliopsida; Lamiales; Oleaceae.